Molecule: ribosomal RNA, 483 nt
Filed under: uncultured bacterium
Lineage: Bacteria
Description: partial 16S ribosomal RNA
Rfam family: Bacterial small subunit ribosomal RNA
Source: RNAcentral
GUGAACGCUGGCGGCAGGCCUAACACAUGCAAGUCGAGCGGCAGCGGGUCCUUCGGGAUGCCGGCGAGCGGCGGACGGGUGAGGAAUGCAUCGGAAUCUGCCCUGUCGUGGGGGAUAACCUAGGGAAACUUAGGCUAAUACCGCAUACGACCCACGGGUGAAAGCGGGGGAUCGCAAGACCUCGCGCGAUAGGAUGAGCCGAUGUCCGAUUAGCUAGUUGGCGGGGUAAAGGCCCACCAAGGCGACGAUCGGUAGCUGGUCUGAGAGGAUGAUCAGCCACACUGGGACUGAGACACGGCCCAGACUCCUACGGGAGGCAGCAGUGGGGAAUAUUGGACAAUGGGCGCAAGCCUGAUCCAGCCAUGCCGCGUGGGUGAAGAAGGCCUUCGGGUUGUAAAGCCCUUUUGUCCGGGAAGAAAUCGUCUGGGCUAAUACCCCGGGCGGAUGACGGUACCGGAAGAAUAAGCACCGGCUAACUUCGUG